This 439-nucleotide long non-coding RNA is filed under the name Homo sapiens (human). RNAcentral describes it as "non-protein coding lnc-IVNS1ABP-6:1". Lineage: Eukaryota; Metazoa; Chordata; Mammalia; Primates; Hominidae. The record is from RNAcentral.
GAAAUCCAAGCAGGUGAUGAACUAUCAGAACGGUUGUAAAGUGGCAAACUCUAAUCAUUUUCAAGUAUUAGAGUUCAGCCUCAUGACACAGUCUCUAAAAGGACAAAUGCUGAAAGCUUGAUAUUUAAGAUCCAAAAUGAAUGACUACCUCAAGGACACAAAUUAAAAAAAAAGACUGGCUAGAAAUGCCAAAGAAGUGAAAAAUAUUGCUUAAAUGGAAGGUGACAUUGCAGUUUUAUUCAUUCAUAUAAAAAUUCCAAAUGUUAAUUCUUUAAUGGGAAAGAGGUCAGCUUCAAGGUUAUCAACAGAACAGCAGAUAUUUUGUCAAAAGUGCUCCUAAGACUAUGUCUCUUGACAAAAUUAAGCACAAUAUAUAUGGAGCUUCCAUUUAAAAUAGUUUUUGAAAAUUUUCUUUGGUUAAAUGUCUCAUAGCUCAUAA